Molecule: long non-coding RNA, 382 nt
Filed under: Pongo abelii (Sumatran orangutan)
Lineage: Eukaryota; Metazoa; Chordata; Mammalia; Primates; Hominidae
Description: lincRNA
Source: RNAcentral
AUUUUCCAGGUUGCACAGAAUACAAAAAGUGGAAGGCUGAAUAAAAAAUAAGCUCCUGUUCAAGUGACCUCACUGCUUUCUGAUGACCCCCACUGGCUAUGCCACAUUUCUGGUGCUGAAUGGAUGCACAACAAGUCGGUACUCAUCUGGGCUUCGAUGGAGUUGUUCGAUUUGAAAAAUGAUGGAAUGAACAAUCCUGCAUAUGGCUUCCAAAUUGGAAACUCAAAACUCAAGGCUCUGGUCUGAAGUGGCCACAGUUCAUCUCUGGCCUUGACAAGCCAUUUGCUGGCUGUGGAACUCAUUACUUGAAAGAGAUUUGCUACAGCUCCCAUUAUGGUGCCUUUAGAAGAAAUAAAGAUCUCCUGCCUCAAUUCCAAUACUU